Abrus precatorius (Indian licorice) is the source of this 2635-nucleotide long non-coding RNA. RefSeq lists it as uncharacterized. The transcript has 3 exons. Lineage: Eukaryota; Viridiplantae; Streptophyta; Magnoliopsida; Fabales; Fabaceae. The record is from RefSeq and is a predicted model, not a curated record.
ACCGUUGCCGCGUAAAUCGUACUCGACGCUUUCUCUCUGCCCCUAACCGUUUCUUCCUCUCGGUCAACGGCGAUGUUUCGAUUGUUACAUGGCGGAUCGAACCUUGAUCCUUUUUAGGGAUGGUUAACUGCAGGUUUCGUCGAUGUUUCGAUCUCGAUGUAGUUGAGUCGAUCUCGUAGGAGGCCACCGAGUUUGGCUCAUCGUGAAUCUCAUAAGGUACUGGUAGCGCCGCGGAUGGUCGUGGUUUUCUACGCGGUCCCGUGUUGAAAUCGAAACGCAGUAAUUAACAUGUGAUAUGUCUUUUAAUUUGGGUUGUAUUGGUAUGAUCCUUUAAGAGGGACUACAUUUUGUGUCGUUUUUGGAUCUGAUUGUUUCGAUUGGAGGUUAUGGUUGCGAGAGAGGUGUGUGUGGGGUACACACACGGUGCUUGUGCUAUUGUUUGUUCAAUCUCUUCCUUGUUAAAUGACCUUUGCCAUGUCAGGUGCGCUUGCAUGGCAGGUCCGAAAGAUUUAAUAAAAUUAUUGUUGUUUUUGUUUGGGGGAGGGAUGGUUUCGGGGUUUUUUUCAAUUUUCCCUGUUUGCCCCGGCUCUCUCCCCCUUUUGUAUCGCGUUUUCCCCUUUCCCUUUUCUAUUUUCUUCCUUUUUCUCUUUUCUGCACUGUGAAUUUAUAUAUUCUAUAACGCGCCACGCAUAGCAGCCAUAUGAUUUAAAAUCGGUUAUAGUUUUGGAACUCAACUCAACCCGAAUGACAAAUGAUUGGCAACUGGGCAAGGUACAUGGUGCUGAACGCAUACUUUCGUUGAUUUUAAUUGAGUUAUUUAUGAAUUGCUGUAUGUAGUUUUACAAUUUAUAUUUGCCGUUAUACCUCGCAUGUCCUGAAUUCGUAAUGCGGUUUUAUGAUUUCGCUUUGAAAUUGAAGGCAAUCAAUAUAAAAACUAAGCUAUUGGAUAUUUUCAUGCUUUCGCUGCAAUUACUAUACUUAUACAUGAUUUAUUUCACAUAUCUAUGACUGUUACACGUGAUCUUAUAUUUUCAUGAUUAGAUUGAAUUGAAAGUCUUUUACAGUUAAAUGACUAUGACAACCAUUUAAAAUUGUAUCAGUAGUCAGUACACAAUCUCUUACAGAAGAGAGCGAUCUAUCUUGCGCCUCACAAAAAUUUGGAUUAAUUAAAUAUCAGGCAUAUUAAUAAUUUUUACGAACGAUAUAUUUAUCUCAACUAGUUCUGUUGACUCUAUGGCUUUGGAUUACUUAAAAAUUUUAUCUAUCUAUUGUCCUUUGAUGGGUAAUUUACAAUAAAAACUUUGCAAAUGCAACAUCUAGUCUCAUGUUUCAAUAUCUUUAGUUUCAAAGUUUUAUUUUCAUUUAUUCAGUAGUUAUAUGUAUAUGUUGGUGUGCAUCUUGGAUACUUACAUUUUUUCCAUGUUACAACUAUAGUCACUGUCUCCAUGUGGAAUUACAAGGGUAUGAUAACAUUUUGGGUUGAUUGAUGUCUUCUUGCCACUGUAUCAUGGAGCUAUUAUUUGCACUUGUACUCCUGUUCUUGGGAUACUUGGGAGUUCGAAUUAUAUGUUUUGAAAAACCCCUAUGGCUAGAUUACGAGGCAGGGAUUACAGAUGGCUGUAAACAAAAGAACCUACUGUAGGGUCAAGGUUCCUUGUAUGUAUAUGUGCAGUCUUCGACUGUGGAUCAUCAUCAGCUUUGACCGUUUUCAAGCAUUGUGCAAUUGCAGUACAUCUUUCUUGAGUAGACACCCAAAUUUCCAUGUGUCUGAUUCAUGCUAGUGGAUAAAAAUAGCUGCUGUCAUUCUGUUGUGUGAAGCAAGAAACUUUUCAGACUUUGCUGGAGGAGUUCCGAAGCAGCUCACCACAGUUGGUUUUGAGUUUUUAUGCUCUUUUUUUGGGAUUGUGCAAUUUAGAUUGAGAUGAUGUUAGCAUAUGAAUUUUUGAACUCCAAUUUAUAUGUUGUUGUCUAGUAUAAUUGCUUUCUUCAUGUGCAACUUUGGUGGUUUUCUUAUCUUUUAUUUUUUCCCUGCACGCAAUUGAAAAAUUUAGUGUGUAAUGUUGUAUUUAUUGCUUCAAUGUUUGAUGUUUAGUUGGAGGUACUGUAUAUUAUUUACAUUGAGUUGGCUCUUCACUAUUGGUGAUUGAAAUUUUGGAGUUGCAUUGCUCCUGAUGCAAUUCAUUCUGUGUUUGUAGGCUUAUGUUAAUCCUCACUCAUCUGAGGGAGAUUUUGAUAAUGCAGGGCUGGAGGUUGUGUUGAAUUAUCAGGAGAUUUGACUGUCUUCUCCCUCAACAUUAAACGGUUGUAUUAUCUCCUGUAAUACCUGUGUAUACGGUCUGUGUCUUUCGGUAUGCAAUGACACACUCCCUGCAUCGGUGGACGCUUUCAUAACCUUGGUCGUUAUUAUUGGGUGACAUUGUUCUGUAGUUCAGAACUCAGUUUAUCCCUCUGGUUUGUUUUCCACCCGUUAUUUUAAUUUUGAUAAUGUUGAAACAUUUUCCCAACAGUUUCCCAAAGUGUGUCUUUGUAAAUAUUUUGGCUGGGGAAUUUUUGUUUCCAUUUGACUAAUGCAUGCAGGCGCACAGACACUUAGUGAUCUCAUCUAUAAUUCAGCUGCUAAUUUCUAGUUUGUUUU